RNAcentral lists this non-coding RNA (24 nucleotides) under Arabidopsis thaliana (thale cress). The record is from RNAcentral. Lineage: Eukaryota; Viridiplantae; Streptophyta; Magnoliopsida; Brassicales; Brassicaceae.
ACGUGUUGUUCAGCGUGGUUCCAC